AUAAUUUUGACAAAGAAAUUGUAGCCUCCCUGACUUUAAAUAUGUGAAUUUGAAAAUACUGAGUUUGGAGUAAUCAUUGUGCUUUGUGUUGGUCUAAAAAAUAUAACACUGGCUGUCAAAUCAGCAUGUCUGAAAAUAUUUAAUUCACUUCCAAAUGUCAUACAAAUUAUUGUGGCUUCUAUGUACCCUAAGGCUUCAGUCAUUUAGCUCAGGUACAUUACUAAAAGUAAUAUAUCAAUUCUUCCAGUACAGUGAUGUUUCACAUCAUUCACAUUUGCAUACUCUGGAAUAAAAUAGAAAGUAAUGUGUUAUAUUCAAAAUAUUCAGAAAAGCAAGCAAAAGGUCAAGGAAACUGCUGGUUAUUCUGAAAUAAUCUUGUGUUGAGGUGAGAAAUUAAAGAAAAAUAAAAUUAAAAAGAGAAAAAAGUUUUCCUGUUUUAGGCUAACUUGUCCAAGAGGCAGCAACAGGCACAGCCCAGACCUAGGAAAAGUCUUGAUAAUAUUAUCUAAUGUGCUCUGGAGACUCUCCCAGCACCCCCUCAACACAGGGAGAAGAAAAACAAAUUUUCCUUUGCUUUAUGGAAUGAGUUUAUAGAUUCUUGUUGUCUGUAACUAGUGAUUUUAAGUAUUCUGUUUUAUCUAAGAAGUACAAAAAAAGUCAUGAGAAGCCUGAGUAGGCCUGAACUACAGCUGCCUGGGCCCCACAGUGAAGGUUAUAGGAUAAGCCCCUGCACAGGCAAACCUAGAUAAGGAACAUCUGGGUUGCUUGGCAACGGUCAUAUGCAAUCCUGUCUUUGUCCUGCCUCUGGAUCCCUCCUUUCAUGCCACUGUAAGCUUGCUUCAAGCUAGCCCACCCCGUUUUGUGAAGUGUGUAUGAAAGUCAGGUGCUGUCUUUGUUCUGGGCCCAGCCUUUUGGACAUGAGUCAGCUGGGCCUGAGUGCACUCAAUAAAGAUUCUCCUGUUUCAACCCAAGGUCUCUCUCGUCCUCCUGAAUCCCGCAACAUUUCUGGUGAGUCAGCCAGGAGGCCGUGGAGAGGACAGGUUGGCUGUCUCCUUUGCCUGUAGGUGGUCUGGGGCCCCAGCAGUGGGAGACCUGUAACUUCAGGCACCACUGGAAGAACUUAAGCCCAGAGAAGGAAACGGCUCUUCCACUCCCCAGCGCCCCUCCCCAGAUGGUGCAUCAGAACCUGGAGGGUUGCAGGACAAUCUCAAGAGCAGCAGGCAGACAUCUGAACCGUGGUACAUCUAGUUCUUCUAUUUGUCUACCUAUAGGUGCACUCAUAACAUUUUAAUUUAUUUCAUGUGUUGUCAUCGUUAUCCUCUGUAUUACUCUGAGAAAGAAGAUGUUACCUGUUUGUGAAAAAGAGGGUCACAGAGUAUGUGUGAACCAAUACUUCAUUUGAGACAGCCUCACAUGGAGAAUGCAAUGAGCCAUUCUCUUCUCACAUACAGUUGAAUAUGACAUUUACUGCAGUUUGAUCACUAAGCAUAAGGUUAGGAAAUAUUUUCUUAUUCUUAUCUCCUUUGCUUUUAUGAUAAAUAUGUUGUUGAACUUAAGAAAAAAUUUAUUGGUACUUGUUGAGAUAAUCAUGAAUUUUUCAUAGCAAUUUACUAAUAUAAUAAAUUAUACUGACAGUUUUCUAAUGUUAAGCCAUUUUGGAAAUUGUUCUGCUUUAUAUUUAUAAGUAAAAGAGGACUAUAAUUUUAUUUUCUUGGAUUAUCCUUUCCUGGCUUUAAAAUUAAAAUAACACUAGCCUCAAAGAAAGAUCUUAGUAAUUUUAUAAUUCUCCCUUUUGAACAUGAAUAAGAUAGAUCUAUUCCUCAACAAUCCUCUAGGUCUGUUAUUUAUUUAUUUAUUUUGCAAAACAAGUCUUUGAUUUUGAUUU
RNAcentral lists this long non-coding RNA (1885 nucleotides) under Homo sapiens (human). RNAcentral describes it as "HSALNT0313802". Lineage: Eukaryota; Metazoa; Chordata; Mammalia; Primates; Hominidae. The record is from RNAcentral.